RNAcentral lists this ribosomal RNA (558 nucleotides) under Triticum aestivum (bread wheat). RNAcentral's name for it is "partial small subunit ribosomal RNA". Lineage: Eukaryota; Viridiplantae; Streptophyta; Magnoliopsida; Poales; Poaceae. The record is from RNAcentral.
AUGGGGCGGCACCGCCGACUUCUUCUCAUCACCGGUCGCCGCGGAAUGGAAAUAAGGGGCUGGGUUGUCGCCGCGCGCUGUUCCUGCGGGUUGUCGCUGCGGGGGUCGGCUGCGCCCUCCUCCCGCCCGCGGAGGAUGACGAGGGCGAGGACACGGAGGCCAGCGAGGAGGGAGGGGGUGGAGGGGUGCGCCCGGUGGCCAUCCGGUGUGGGCGGCCUCCCACUACGAUCUCACGCGCCGGGCGCGCCGGGCGCGCGCGCUGGCGUAGCCCUCGGUCACCCGCUGCGUCCACGCCGAGAUGCCCUCCAUCCUCACCUUCCAGCGGGGCGCACCGAGACGGCGCUCGACCUGGCCAAGUUCGUCGACAAGGGCGUCCAGGUCAAGCUCACCGGCGGCGGGCAAGGCACGCCCCGAUGCUCCCCUCGCUUUGGGCACCCGAUGCCAGGCAGGCUGUGGAUGCCCCGAACCUCAAGGCCGGCCGUGCUACUCCAGCUGCUCCUGCCCCAGCCGUGCUCAACUUUGCUCCUGGUCAGUUGCCGCAGGCUGUUGCUGCUGUGA